CAAGUUGGAGCUUGAUUAGUAAAGCAUUUCGUUUACAUUGAAAAAUUUAUCGUGCGAGUCGAUUUAACUUGA
This 72-nucleotide transfer RNA is filed under the name Layahima valida. Its description in RNAcentral is "tRNA-Val". It matches the Rfam family "tRNA". From Rfam's summary of the family: Transfer RNA (tRNA) molecules are approximately 80 nucleotides in length. Their secondary structure includes four short double-helical elements and three loops (D, anti-codon, and T loops). Further hydrogen bonds mediate the characteristic L-shaped molecular structure. tRNAs have two regions of fundamental functional importance: the anti-codon, which is responsible for specific mRNA codon recognition, and the 3' end, to which the tRNAs corresponding amino acid is attached (by aminoacyl-tRNA synthetases). tRNAs cope with the degeneracy of the genetic code in two manners: having more than one tRNA (with a specific anti-codon) for a particular amino acid; and 'wobble' base-pairing, i.e. permitting non-standard base-pairing at the 3rd anti-codon position. RNAcentral also lists the same sequence under 1 other name. The record is from RNAcentral. Lineage: Eukaryota; Metazoa; Arthropoda; Insecta; Neuroptera; Myrmeleontidae.